Molecule: ribosomal RNA, 253 nt
Filed under: uncultured bacterium
Lineage: Bacteria
Description: partial 16S ribosomal RNA
Rfam family: Bacterial small subunit ribosomal RNA
Source: RNAcentral
UACAGAGGGUGCAAGCGUUGUUCGGAAUUAUUGGGCGUAAAGGGCGCGUAGGCGGUGUCGCAAGUCCGUGGUGAAAUCUCCAGGCUCAACUUGGAGUCUGCCGCGGAAACUGCGGUGCUAGAGUGUGGGAGAGGUGCGUGGAAUUCCCAGUGUAGCGGUGAAAUGCGUAGAUAUUGGGAGGAACACCAGUGGCGAAGGCGGCUCACUGGACCGGAACUGACGCUGAGGCGCGAAAGCGUGGGGAGCAAACGGG